RNAcentral lists this ribosomal RNA (325 nucleotides) under Ctenophora environmental sample. Its description in RNAcentral is "partial Bacterial large subunit ribosomal RNA". It matches the Rfam family "Bacterial large subunit ribosomal RNA", at positions 406 to 732 of the family's 2925-position model. Lineage: Eukaryota; Metazoa; Ctenophora. The record is from RNAcentral.
ACUCGAGUAGGGCGGGACACGUGAAAUCCUGACUGAACAUGGGGGGACCAUCCUCCAAGGCUAAAUACUACUAACUGACCGAUAGUGAACCAGUACCGUGAGGGAAAGGUGAAAAGCACCCCGACGAGGGGAGUGAAACAGUACCUGAAACCGAACGCCUACAAUCAGUCGGAGGCUCCUUGCGAGCUGACGGCGUACCUUUUGUAUAAUGGGUCAUCGACUUGGUCUCACGAGCAAGCUUAAGCCGUUAGGUGUAGGCGUAGCGAAAGCGAGUCUUAAUAGGGCGCAUGAGUUUGUGGGAUCAGACCCGAAACCGAGUGAUCUA